AGUUACAGCCAUAUCACCCUGCAGCCCAAGACUGGUUGCCCACUGAAGCUAAGCAGGGCUGAGCCUGGUCAGUACCUGGAUGGUAGACCUCUUGGGAAAACUAGGUUGCUGUUGGAA
This 117-nucleotide ribosomal RNA is filed under the name Sinocyclocheilus anshuiensis. The record is from RNAcentral. Lineage: Eukaryota; Metazoa; Chordata; Actinopteri; Cypriniformes; Cyprinidae.